CGAGCGGCAGCGCGGGGCAACCUGGCGGCGAGCGGCGAACGGGUGAGUAAUAUAUCGGAACGUAUCCAUAAGUGGGGGACAACCUAGCGAAAGUUAGGCUAAUACCGCAUACGCAGGAGACUGGAAAGUGGGGGAUCGCAAGACCUCACGCUUUAGGAGCGGCCGAUAUCAGAUUAGCUAGAUGGUGAGGUAAAGGCUUACCAUGGCGACGAUCUGUAGCUGGUCUGAGAGGAUGAUCAGCCACACUGGGACUGAGACGCGGCCCAGACUCCUACGGGAGGCAGCAGUGGGGAAUUUUGGACAAUGGGGGCAACCCUGAUCCAGCCAUUCCGCGUGAGUGAAGAAGGCCUUCGGGUUGUAAAGCUCUUUUGUCGGGGACGAAACGGUUUUAGCUAAUAUCUAAGACUACUGACGGUACCCGAAGAAUAAGCACCGGCUAACUACGUGCCAGCAGCCGCGGUAAUACGUAGGGUGCGAGCGUUAAUCGGAAUUACUGGGCGUAAAGCGUGCGCAGGCGGUUUUAUAAGCCAGAUGUGAAAGCCCCGGGCUCAACCUGGGAAUGGCAUUUGGGACUGUAAGGCUGGAGUAUGGCAGAGGAGACUAGAAUUCCUGGUGUAGCAGUGAAAUGCGUAGAUAUCAGGAGGAAUACCGAUGGCGAAGGCAGGUCUCUGGGCCAAUACUGACGCUCAUGCACGAAAGC
Molecule: ribosomal RNA, 700 nt
Filed under: uncultured bacterium
Lineage: Bacteria
Description: bacterial SSU rRNA
Rfam family: Bacterial small subunit ribosomal RNA
Source: RNAcentral